RNAcentral lists this ribosomal RNA (274 nucleotides) under uncultured bacterium. RNAcentral's name for it is "partial 16S ribosomal RNA". It matches the Rfam family "Bacterial small subunit ribosomal RNA", at positions 523 to 796 of the family's 1533-position model. The record is from RNAcentral.
AUACGGAGGGUGCAGGCGUUACUCGGAAUCACUGGGCGUAAAGAGCGUGUAGGCGGGUUAAUAAGUUGGAAGUGAAAUCCUAUGGCUCAACCAUAGAACUGCUUUCAAAACUGUUGACCUAGAAUAUGGGAGAGGUAGAUGGAAUUUCUGGUGUAGGGGUAAAAUCCGUAGAGAUCAGAAGGAAUACCGAUUGCGAAGGCGAUCUACUGGAACAUUAUUGACGCUGAGACGCGAAAGCGUGGGGAGCAAACAGGAUUAGAAACCCUAGUAGUCC